UCCCAGACUCCUACGGGAGGCAGCAGUGGGGAAUAUUGCACAAUGGGGGAAACCCUGAUGCAGCAACGCCGCGUGAGUGAGGAAGUAUUUCGGUAUGUAAAGCCCUAUCAGCAGGGAAGAAAAUGACGGUACCUGACUAAGAAGCCCCGGCUAACUACGUGCCAGCAGCCGCGGUAAUACGUAGGGGGCAAGCGUUAUCCGGAUUUACUGGGUGUAAAGGGAGCGUAGACGGCGGCGCAAGUCCGGAGUGAAAGCCCGCGGCCCAACCGUGGGACUGCUCUGGAAACUGUGCGGCUUGAGUGCGGGAGGGGCAGGCGGAAUUCCUAGUGUAGCGGUGAAAUGCGUAGAUAUGAGGAGGAACACCAGUGGCGAAGGCGGUCUGCUGGACAGCAACUGACGCUGAGGCGCGAAAGCGUGGGGAGCAAACAGGAUUAGAUACCCGGGUA
RNAcentral lists this ribosomal RNA (446 nucleotides) under uncultured bacterium. Its description in RNAcentral is "partial 16S ribosomal RNA". It matches the Rfam family "Bacterial small subunit ribosomal RNA", at positions 329 to 792 of the family's 1533-position model. The record is from RNAcentral.